RNAcentral lists this long non-coding RNA (331 nucleotides) under Homo sapiens (human). RNAcentral's name for it is "HSALNT0254921". The record is from RNAcentral. Lineage: Eukaryota; Metazoa; Chordata; Mammalia; Primates; Hominidae.
UCAGGCCCAAGACCACAUCGCUGUGCAGGAAGUGGCCGAGCUGGGGGCGUGAAACCAGCUGCUGCACCCUGGGAGUAGCAGUGAGGCAUAAACCUCUGACAGCAGUGCCUCCAGCCUUUGCCCUCACGGCUGACUAGGCAGCAGCUAAUCCAGGCUCUCUCCAGUCCUCACGUCUUCCUCGCCGGCCCCUCAGCACCUGGCCUGGCACAGUAAACAUGGAGACGCUGGAGGACACAGCCUCCCGAGCCCUCCUCUGUGCCCGCCGACCUGCCAUGGCAGGGGGCAGGUGCCUUCGCUGUCUUCUGCUAUCAGGGACAGCAGAGUCAGCUGA